AUCGUACACCAACCUGAGCGCAUUCGGUCGUAUUCCAAAAUCAUGAGACGGCCCACUCGGGGCAUUUUACCUUCUAAGCGGUAGGCCCCGUGAACCGGACGAGCAUGCAGGUCAUGCGCUUCGUGAUCCUCUGCACUAGUGCAUGCCGAGCCAAGGCCUGCAUCGCCAAACAGCGACGCAUGCCGCAUACAAUUACGAAGCGGAAACUCGGUCCGCAGGAUUCGUUCUAGCACCUGAUUUUCUUCAGUAUGACGAAGGCAGGCUUGCAUACGCCUACUGUUGCAGCACGAACGGACGACGAGACCGUAUCCUCGUCGGAUGAGCGGCGCCUCUGGCGGACGUCCUCAGCGACAUAACGAAGCCGUUCCCUCUGGACAUUCUAUCGGUACCGACGCUGGCAGCGUCCCAGGGGGCGCUCACGAUAGACUCCGCACCGGAUGGAACCAGCGAAAUGACCAAUAUCUCCGAGGGCAGACAUGGGUCCCGGAACUCGGUGGCAAGGCGUGGAGCCUCGGAUGCCUUCCCGAACGCAGAUACCCAUCGCGGAAUCGAGGCAUCACGGUUGGUGUACACACGAUCCUACAUCGAAUCUUUAGCCCUUCAAAAAACCAAAAAGGCUUCCACGGCACGGUGCCCAAAUUUGGAUGUGUUGCACUAUAUCAAGCACCAAUGCGCGCUUCAAAUUCGCACGAUAGCACACAAGUGAAAGCUUGCACGCAUCGGAGACAGCAGAUCGGACACGUGGCAGGAUGCAUGCAAUGCCGCAGCCUGCGAUGCGUGUCGCCAUCGACGUGCAUGCCAGUGCGGAAUCGCAGGAGAACACGUGUCCUUGGAAUGCACGCUGGGGUUGAAGAAAGAAGCAGCGGUGCAAAGCGUUCAGACUCGGAAAGUAGGGAUGUUUGGGGUCUGCGACAACGGCGACGUCACGGUGCACGCUUCAUAGGUCGUGUGCGAGCCGCGCGUGCUCUCGGGCAGUCCGCAAGAACAUAGACGCGGUAACCGGGUGGUUUCCGGAUUUGCUCGGCUUGAACUGAAGCAGACGCUUGUAGUGCAGGUUGACAUGCAUAAUGCGAGGUCGCGUGUUGGCGCUCGAGGCAAAGCUAGAGCAGACGAUUGAGCUUCAGAACCCGAGCGCGUGAUUUUAGCGACUCCGCGGUUCUUUUUGGGUGAAAACGACCGUGUUUGAGAAUACGCGACCACGAGCCGUAGCCGAAGAGAUCGAUCCCCUUUCGCAGUUCGGCAUCUUCUUCGGCUGUGAAGUGGACUUUGGCAAAGCUGUUCAAAGGCGGUGGUGGCUCCGGGAGGGUCCCAAUCUGGGAUAUCAGCUGCUCCGCUCGUUUCCGAACGGACUGGUAGCUCCGAUGCGGUUCCUGUAGCCGGUCCUGAAUACGAUUCAGGAUGAGUCGCCAGUGGCCCACGCCACAGGCCCGAAUGCCGUCAAGUAGCGCCUCGUCCUCUUCGGGGGUGUAUCGAACGAGGGGGCCGAGCUUGAUGCCGCCCUCAUUUGAUAAAGGAAGUUCAUGACCGCCUCUGGUCGCCGGCUUCGUUGGCUGCGGGGAACCAGGUCGCGUCAUAGGUGCCUGUGGCUGCGACGUAGGACGAGCUGGCUGUCUCCCGCCCGCAUCUGACUCGAAUGCCGGCGCAACAGGCUCAUGCACACGUUUCCGCCGUUUGUGCUCCGAUACCUUCUCCUGUGUAGCGACAUAUUCAUUCGUGGUCAGUGAUGAAGGGUGUCGGAAUAAGCGCGCCCCUUUUGCAGCAGGCAGACGGGGUGCGGCUUUUCCUCUCUGCCUUUUUUCAUCUGGUGCGUUGUAUCGCAAGGCCUCCGCAAUGGCAUCAUCUGUCGGAUCCACCUGUUUCGCAGCAGGUUCCCGGUCUUGGUCCGCGGCUGGUGUCGGAACUCGCGUUCUCGACUUCACAUGCUCGGUUUGCUGUUGAUCCACCGUCGACGACGCUUCCUGAACCCGCGUUGACGAUCCUGUGCGCCCAUGCUGCGCAAACGCUUCAUCCAGCGCAGAUUCAGCGUGUUUUGUUCCACGAGGUGCUGGUGGUACCGCAGCGCUGGCUGGCGGCGUCGACGUUUGCGACCUCGAAGCGCUCUUCUUGGUCGCGAGCGCGGUGGUCUGUGCCGCUUGCUCACCAACUGCAACAGCUACUGGGGCAGGUCGUAUUUCCGCUCUUUUUCCCGGUGAUCGCGAAAGGUUCUCAUUCCCGGUUUGCGUCCUCUGCGGCCGUGCAGUCGUCUCAGAGAGUGCUUCGGAAUCGAGUCUCGACGGAGAUGCGGCUUCAUGCCCAUGCGGAUUCGCAGCGUUGUGCCUUUCGAGCAUCGCAAGCGCUUCCAGCGCUGCAGUCAACGGUGGCUUUCCAAGCCAUUCAAGAAGCGCUUCCACAUACUCCGUGGCCAUUGGGAGCAGGCGGUCCUCUGGAAAAAGCGAUGUCGCCAGCUGUCGCUGAUCCAGACCAAGAUACUUGUUGGCAGAAGCCGACGAUUUCUUCGCCUUCGAGGAAGACUUUUGCGAAAGCGGACUAUGCUUUUUCGCGAAUAUCGCUUCCAACUCGUGCAAUCUCACACGCGCCAGACCGGAUGCGUACGAUGGAUCCUCCUGCACGAGUUCUUCUAAAGGUUCCAGGUCUACCUGCCAGGUUCCACGGUUUUGCAACCGCUCCAUUGCGUCCAUGAGCACAUAUUGGGUGAGUAGUUCCAACAUAAACCGCUGGAACAGAUCCUGACACUUCUCGAAUGAGCGCGGAUGCGAUGAAUGGAUGACAUUCGCCACUUCGAGAACC
Molecule: unclassified non-coding RNA, 2787 nt
Filed under: Cyanidioschyzon merolae strain 10D
Lineage: Eukaryota; Rhodophyta; Bangiophyceae; Cyanidiales; Cyanidiaceae
Description: hypothetical transcript
Source: RNAcentral